UAGAGUUUGAUCCUGGCUCAGGAUGAACGCUAGCGGCAGGCUUAACACAUGCAAGUCGAGGGGCAGCACGGGUAGCAAUACUUGGUGGCGACCGGCGCAAGGGUGCGUAACGCGUGAGCAACAUGCCCGUAUCAGGGGGAUAAUCCAUGGAAACGUGGUCUAAUACCCCAUAGUAAAUUUUUGGGGCAUCUCAAAGAUUUUAAAGCUUUGGUGGAUACGGAUUGGCUCGCGUGACAUUAGCUAGAUGGUAAGGUAACGGCUUACCAUGGCUACGAUGUCUAGGGGUUCUGAGAGGAAGGUCCCCCACACUGGAACUGAGACACGGUCCAGACUCCUACGGGAGGCAGCAGUGAGGAAUAUUGGACAAUGGAUGGAAAUCUGAUCCAGCCAUGCCGCGUGCAGGAAGAAUGUCCUAUGGAUUGUAAACUGCUUUUGUAUGGGAGCAAUAAGGUAUUCGUGAAUACCGAUGAGAGUACCAUACGAAUAAGCACCGGCUAACUCCGUGCCAGCAGCCGCGGUAAUUACCGCGGCUGCUGGCAGAGGGGUGCGAACGGUUUGCGCUGUGCCACCUGAGCCAGGAUCAAACUCU
Molecule: ribosomal RNA, 589 nt
Filed under: uncultured bacterium
Lineage: Bacteria
Description: bacterial SSU rRNA
Rfam family: Bacterial small subunit ribosomal RNA
Source: RNAcentral